RNAcentral lists this small RNA (64 nucleotides) under Arabidopsis thaliana (thale cress). Its description in RNAcentral is "ATSL239600". The record is from RNAcentral. Lineage: Eukaryota; Viridiplantae; Streptophyta; Magnoliopsida; Brassicales; Brassicaceae.
UUUCAGCAGAGAGGCGAUUACCAAACUGAAACAGAGGACGAAUAACAGAGUUAACGGAAUUGAG